This 26-nucleotide non-coding RNA is filed under the name Rattus norvegicus (Norway rat). Lineage: Eukaryota; Metazoa; Chordata; Mammalia; Rodentia; Muridae. The record is from RNAcentral.
UGCUGAGCCGCUGGGACCAAGAGGCC